CUCCGGGGAUAACAGGCUGAUACCGCCCAAGAGUUCAUAUCGACGGCGGUGUUUGGCACCUCGAUGUCGGCUCAUCACAUCCUGGGGCUGAAGUAGGUCCCAAGGGUAUGGCUGUUCGCCAUUUAAAGUGGUACGCGAGCUGGGUUUAGAACGUCGUGAGACAGUUCGGUCCCUAUCUGCCGUGGGCGCUGGAGAAUUGAGGGGGGCUGCUCCUAGUACGAGAGGACCGGAGUGGACGCAUCACUGGUGUUCGGGUUGUCAUGCCAAUGGCACUGCCCGGUAGCUAAAUGCGGAAGAGAUAAGUGCUGAAAGCAUCUAAGCACGAAACUUGCCCCGAGAUGAGUUCUCCCUGAGACUAUAAGUCUCCUGAAGGAACGUUAAAGACGAUGACGUUGAUAGGCCGGGUGUGUAAGCGCAGCGAUGCGUUGAGCUAACCGGUACUAAUGAACCGUGAGGCUUAACCUU
Molecule: ribosomal RNA, 465 nt
Filed under: Pseudomonas aeruginosa
Lineage: Bacteria; Pseudomonadati; Pseudomonadota; Gammaproteobacteria; Pseudomonadales; Pseudomonadaceae
Description: partial 23S ribosomal RNA
Rfam family: Bacterial large subunit ribosomal RNA
Source: RNAcentral